Molecule: long non-coding RNA, 1025 nt
Filed under: Gossypium barbadense (sea-island cotton)
Lineage: Eukaryota; Viridiplantae; Streptophyta; Magnoliopsida; Malvales; Malvaceae
Description: long non-coding RNA (GBAR_LNC017726)
Source: RNAcentral
AAAUAUUGUUUGCAUUAUACAUUUUAUGAGUUGAACAAUUUUACCCUUUUAAGUGGGAGUAAGAAGCUAUGCCUUCGUGAGGUUUUCACCUCCGUGUAGGGUAGUGGAUUGCUUUCGGGAUACAUUCGUACCUAUUUCUUUGUGAGAUUUUCAUCUCCGUGUAGCCAUAGGGAAAUGUAUUCCCCUGAACCAAACUCGAUCCAUAUGAGCCUAUAAUGGGUGAGGAUUGAGGAAUCUGCUGGUUCGGGUACCUUUAUUCUAGAAGCCAAACCUCAUAUAAUGAACCUUAGAAAUCCACCCUAAGUAGAACUAUACUAAACCCUAGUAGAUAUCCGAGUAGGAAUUUUACUAUUAUAUUAUAUGUUUAUAUGAUAUUGACUUUUCGUGUUUUAUUUACAUGUCAUGGAAUUUCAUUUCAUUAUAAAAGAGGUGUUGAUUAAUGUUCAAUUGCUAAAUAGAGAUCUGGUCAUAAAAAAAUGGGUUUCUUAAUAAAGUGGAUGACAAUAUGGUUGUCCGAAUAUGGUCCAAGAACACAUGAUAAGAGAAGGAUGAUAAUUUAAUGGAGGACUAUGGCUCCGUUGCCCUAGAAUUCAAGAUGACAAAGAUUAUUUGAGAACUGUUGAACCUUCUUAAAGAGAAGCCAACGAGCAUCACGAGGAUGAGCGAACAACAAGUUACGGCCUGGAUCGAGCAAAAAGGAGAUAGAAGAGACAUUUUUGAAGAGUUCGUGAGAUUUAUCUUAACGCUCGAAUGAAGAAGAAGAUUGAAUGUCUUCGCCUAUGAGGGUAAGGCCGUAUAAAUAUUCAUUUUAUGUAAAGAGAUUUGUUUUCUAGUAAAGUUCUUUAAAUGGAAUUGAAUCAGAAUCGUCUCUUUAUGCAUUCAUUUCAUGCAUUCACAUUACAUGAUAUCAUAUGCAUUAAAGUCAACUAAAAGAUUCUAAUUGAUAUAAAUCAUUCCUCAGUUAAUCUGGAAACCAACCAGCCUACUAAACACCGUUACGAUACUCGAUUGAAAACUAAGGAUAU